UAUUUUUGCCAAAAGUUAAACUUCCCACUUCUUUUUCCCGCAUAAAAUCAUUCUGUAUAUAAACCUAAAUUCUGCUGAAAACCCACAAGCUCUAUCAGAGCCUCCAAUCUACCGCCGCGUCUGAGCCUUAGCUAGAGUAGAGAUGAAGGUUGUUGCCGCAUAUUUGCUCACUAUUUUGGGCGGCAACGCCAGCCUCUCCGCCAAGGACUUGAAGACCGUUUUCGCCUCCGCCAUAUUAGUUAUCGUUGGAUCUAUCACUCGGUGAUGGCUGAUCUCCGGGCACUUCCUAGCCAGAAACCAACAUCGGUUUCUGUCCCCGUAUUAUGUACGACCGGUUAAUUUGCUUAAGUCAGAUUUCUUCUUUAAUAAUGAGCGGUUGGUUACAGAAGCAACAUAAACCAGGUCAUUAGACAUACUGUU
Long non-coding RNA from Rosa chinensis, 420 nucleotides. RefSeq lists it as uncharacterized. NCBI's taxonomy places the organism in Eukaryota, Viridiplantae, Streptophyta, Magnoliopsida, Rosales, Rosaceae. The transcript is spliced from 3 exons. The record is from RefSeq and is a predicted model, not a curated record.